RNAcentral lists this non-coding RNA (199 nucleotides) under Alistipes sp. Lineage: Bacteria; Pseudomonadati; Bacteroidota; Bacteroidia; Bacteroidales; Rikenellaceae. The record is from RNAcentral.
CUAAAUUUGCACCGCAAUGGUUCACAAAGAGUUCACAACCACUCCGCGUGAUUAAAUGGGAAUGCCGUGAAAUUCGGCAGCAGUUCCCGCUGCUGUAAGUUCCUCAAUGGGCGCAAUACUCUUUGCCACUGGUCCUUGGGACCGGGAAGGCAUUGCGUUCGGAACAAGCCAGAAGACCUGCCUUGCAUCCUUCGGAAGA